GAUGAACGCUGGCGGCGUGCCUAAUACAUGCAAGUCGAACGCUGAAGGAGGAGCUUGCUCUUCUGGAUGAGUUGCGCACGGGUGAGUAACGCGUAGGUAACCUGCCUGGUAGCGGGGGAUAACUAUUGGAAACGAUAGCUAAUACCGCAUGACAACAGUUAUUGCAUGAUAACUGUUUAAAAGGGGCAACUGCUCCACUACCAGAUGGACCUGCGUUGUAUUAGCUAGUUGGUGAGGUAACGGCUCACCAAGGCGACGAUACAUAGCCGACCUGAGAGGGUGAUCGGCCACACUGGGACUGAGACACGGCCCAGACGCCUACGGGAGGCAGCAGUAGGGAAGCUUCGGCAAGGGACGGAAGUCGGACCGAGCAACGCCGCGUGAGUGAAGAAGGAUUUCGGAUCGUAAAGCACUGUUGUAAGAGAAGAACGAGUGUGAGAGUGGAAAGUUCACACGGUGACAGGAUCUUACCAGAGAGGGACGGCUAACUACGUG
This 495-nucleotide ribosomal RNA is filed under the name uncultured bacterium. RNAcentral's name for it is "partial 16S ribosomal RNA". It matches the Rfam family "Bacterial small subunit ribosomal RNA", at positions 28 to 507 of the family's 1533-position model. The record is from RNAcentral.